RNAcentral lists this ribosomal RNA (484 nucleotides) under uncultured bacterium. Its description in RNAcentral is "partial 16S ribosomal RNA". It matches the Rfam family "Bacterial small subunit ribosomal RNA", at positions 30 to 507 of the family's 1533-position model. The record is from RNAcentral.
AUUGAACGCUGGCGGCAUGCCUUACACAUGCAAGUCGAACGGCAGCACGGUAGCAAUCCUCUUUGCGAGUUGCGGACGGGUGGGUAAUACAUCGGAACGUGCGCAGCUGUUGGUGAUAACCCGGCGACAGCCGGACUCAUACCGCAUACGACCUACGGGUGAAAGCGGGGGAUCGCAAGACCUCGCGCUAUCGGACCAGCCGAUGUCAGAUUAGCUAGUUGGUGGGGUAAAGGCCUACCAAGGCGACGAUCUGUAGCUGGUCUGAGAGGACGACCAGCCACACUGGGACUGAGACACGGCCCAGACUCCUACGGGAGGCAGCAGUGGGGAAUAUUGGACAAUGGGCGCAAGCCUGAUCCAGCCAUGCCGCGUGCGUGAAGAAGGCCUUCGGGUUGUAAACCGCUUUUGUUAGGGAAGAAAAGCUCCGGGUUAAUACCACGGAGUAAUGACGGUACCUGAAGAAUAAGCACCGGCUAACUUCGUG